UUACGGCUAUAUCACGUUGAAACACCGGUUCCCGGACGAUCACCGAAGUUAAGCAACGUCGAAUCUGGUCAAUACGCAGAUGGGUAACCACUUGGGAAAACCAGGUGUUGUAAG
Non-coding RNA from Acanthosepion pharaonis, 114 nucleotides. The record is from the annotation of a GenBank genome assembly. Lineage: Eukaryota; Metazoa; Mollusca; Cephalopoda; Sepiida; Sepiidae.